RNAcentral lists this long non-coding RNA (5364 nucleotides) under Fragaria vesca (wild strawberry). RNAcentral describes it as "long non-coding RNA (FVES_LNC001078)". Lineage: Eukaryota; Viridiplantae; Streptophyta; Magnoliopsida; Rosales; Rosaceae. The record is from RNAcentral.
GUGCUCCUCCGGGUCGGUAAACCCCAGUGGAACUCUAGUCCAGACGGGUGGAUUCAACGACGGAGAGAAAAGGGUGAGGACUUAUGACCCGUGUGCUACCUGUGACUGGAAAGAGAUCGAAAACGCGCUGACCAACCGGAGAUGGUACGCCACCAAUCAUGAACUCCCCGACGGACGGCAGAUAAUCAUCGGCGGAAGGCGGGAGUUCAACUACGAGUUCUACCCCAAAAGUGGAGGAUCCAUGAACGCACAUAGUUUACCUUUUCUUGUUGAGACAAGUGACGGCAACGCCAUAGAGAACAAUCUCUACCCUUUUGUUUUUCUCAACGUUGAUGGCAACCUUUUCAUCUUCGCUAACAAUCGAGCCAUUUUGUUCGACUAUGCGGCCGGUAAAAUCGUCAAGACCUACCCUACUAUACCCGGUGGAGACCCACGGUCGUAUCCGAGCACCGGUUCCGCCGUGUUGCUACCUCUGAAAAGCUCAAAAGGUCAGGUUGUGGCAGCUGAGGUUUUAGUAUGCGGUGGAGCUCCCAAAGGCUCUUAUGUUAAAGCUGCAAGUGGGACAUUCGUGGAAGCAUUGAAGACAUGCGCACGGAUCAAAAUAACCGACCCGAGCCCGCAGUGGGGUAUGGAAACCAUGCCUCUAGCUAGAGUCAUGGGUGACAUGACGUUACUUGCCAACGGUGACGUUUUAAUCAUCAACGGUGCCGGAUCAGGUACCGCCGGGUGGGAGCUAGGUCGGAACCCGGUACUGAACCCGGUUGUUUACAAGCCCGAUAAUGCGGUCGGGUCACGAUUCGAGCAGCAAAACCCUAGCACCAUUCCACGGAUGUAUCAUUCCGCUGCAAUACUACUACGUGAUGGGAGAGUUCUUGUUGGAGGUAGUAACCCUCACAUUCGUUACGAGUUCUCAAACGUGCUGUUCCCGACCGAGCUUGCCUUAGAAGCGUUCUCACCUAGUUACUUGGAGUCACAAUUCGCAAGCAUACGUCCGAGCAUCUUUUCACCUCUGUCACAAGUUACGGUUGGUUACGGCCAGAAGCUAGCCGUUCGAUUUUCGAUAACGGGGAAAAUAGCACUGAACUCUGUGUCCGUUACAAUGGUGUCACCUUCGUUCACUACACACUCGUUCUCGAUGAACCAGAGGCUACUGGUUCUUGCUUCCGAGAAUGUUAUAGCUGUGGGGAACUUGAAGUUUGAAGUUCAGGUUACGACGCCGGCUACCGGUAAUCUUGCACCGUCUGGAUAUUAUCUCUUAUACGUGGUUCACCAGCAGAUUCCAAGUGAGGGUAUUUGGGUCAAGAUUAAGUAAUAUGUUACUAGAAGAUAAGAGAUAUAGGUAUAUAUAGUCGUAUAGUUGCCUUCUCAAACUUAUUUUCAUCUUUUACAUUAUUUAUUCUUACAGUUUUUACAAAUUGUAUUAACUGUAUCAAAUAUUUGUAUGUUAAGUCGCUGAUCAGUAAUGUUAAGUCGCUGAUCGAGUAAACAACUACUGGAUCCUUCUAAAUUUGGUAAAUUCAAUCCAAAUAGCUCUCUCGAUGACUAGCUCUCUGCUAAGACUCUUCCCAUAAUCGAAAGUUAUAUUGGAAUUUUCAAAGUCCCAAGUCUUAAAUCCGUCAGGUUCGGUUGCUACUAUACACAUUUGUAUAGCAUACAUCAAGCCAUGAGCCGUCCGAUCAUUUAGCAAUUCAAAAUUCAAAACGAUUAGAUGGUUUACGGUUUGAUGUAUGUUAUACACAUAUGUAUAGUAGAAAAAACUAAAUCCGUCAUACCGCGCAACUAGCUAGGUAUUUCACAUACGAAAUUAUCUCGAUUGAAAAUUUUAACAAUCUCUUAUAUAUGAAUAGGUAAAGAAACUAUAUUAAAACUAAAGGGGGUGUAUUCAAUUCAGAUUUUAAAAGAUUCUGACAGAUUUUAAAUAAUCCAUGUAUUCUGUCGGGCAGAUUUUAAUGGAUUGAUUCAUUGGUUUUUCUUUGGAUUUUAUACGUCCAUAGACUGUUUAUUAAUACAAGUUGUGUUUAACAUCAUGUCAAACGCUAUACAGCAUGGUCAUGUUAAAAACCAAACCGGCAACAACAGAUGAUAUUCAUUAUUCAUUUAUAGAACUCUAUACAACAAUGAUCAUGUUGAAAACCAAACCAGCAACAACAGAUGAUAUUCAUUUACAGAACUCUAUACAGCAAUGAUCAUGUUGAAAACCAAACCAGCAAUAACAGAUGAUAUUUAUUUACAGAACGCUAUACAGCAACAGUCAGGUUGAAAACCAAACCAGCAAUAUAUAACAGAUGAUAUUUAUUUACAUAAGAUUUUUUUUCCCAACCAAACCAGAAAUAAAGAAAUCUUGCUGUGUUCCCUCUCCUAAAUCCAUUGCAACAUGGGAAACUUGAACACUUUCAGUUUGCAUACAGACUUUCAUGCACUUUGUAUCUUCUACCUCACCAAAGUCACUUGCCUCAACCAUAAAUGAGGUAUAAACCCUUCAAACCGUCACCCAUGCAAACAUCAAAAUGGCUAAUUAGAAAUGCCUUACACAUAAGCUUUAUGUGUCCCUCCCUCACCUCCUUCCCUACCCUACAAAGCCCAACCUCUCUCCACUCUACUCCUCACCAAAGUAGCUAGCUAGUAUGAGUAGUAUCCACUCUAAAAAGCAGCCAGGUCUAUAGCUCUCUCUUUUCUUGCUUAUUCUCUUUCAUGGCUGCUUAGCCUAUCGCCAACAAUCUCAGUCCAGCCAGCAUCUACAUGUAUAGAAAUUAAAAAUAAAUAUAAGAAAACAUGUCAAAGAAAAGUUAACAAUAUCAAUUUUACAAUGAUAAAAUUCAUGUUACAUGGCAUAAAAACAGUGAUUCUUCUUUUAUUGUUUGCAGCUGUGAUCAAAUCAAACCAUUUAAGUUUCAUUCUUCUAGAUACAAGAAGAAAUAGUGAAAUAAUCUGCUAGUAAGAGCAAAUUCACAGCAAGCUCUUGACUACACACCUAACUGACUGCUCAAAUAAUAAAUAGAAUGCAAAUAGUAAAGGACCAGCUCAUAUGCACUCGUGUGUACUAUUUCUAAGUUCAACCUGAACACUACUACAACAAAUGAAUUAGACAAAAAGAAACAAGUAAUAAGCAUCAAGUUUCUUAUGAUUACAGCAAAGGGCCUUUUAACUUGAUAAAAUCCAUCCAAAUUCUAGUGAGAGACUAUGAUAUAUGAUCAUUCAUGUAAACAAUUAUGCUCUGAGUCUUAUUAGAAUAUCUUGGUUAUCCAUGUUAACAAUCCCCUUUCAGGCAGAACACUUACAGUAUAGAAUCAAUUACAAACUAAACACUCAAGUGCACCAUUCACCUUCUUCACAUCCAAAAUAUUUGCAUAAAUCAAGAGUUCCUGAUGCUCUUAGCCCCUAGUCUAUAAUCCUAAUAAUGAUUGAACAUGGGAGCAGCUGUUAUAUCAGCUAUCAGCAGGCAUAUACUGAGUAAAACAUCAAUUAAUCCCAUUCAAAUCUGAUGUACACUUUAGCAUAUCAAGCAAUCAAACGAAACCCUUAUUCUGAUAUCCCACCAACGUACUGGAUUUCCAAGAAAUUUCAAGGUAGUGAUUAUUGGUAAAUCAAACAGGUUUAGUGCUUGACGAGCAAAACAGGAAACUACCCCCAAAUCCCUUUUUCCCCAAAUCAGGGUUUAUGAAUUCACCAAAAAUUUCUAUCCCCAAACCUAAAAGAUAAGACGACGAACACCAAAAAGAGAAGAGAAAGGCGAUUACCCAGAUGUUUGCAUGUGGUGAGGUCGUCAGUCAAGGUCAGUUCGUCGCCAGAACGAGAGAGAAGAGAAUACUUCAAAAUCUGAUGGUUAGAGAGCAGAUUCUUGUUAGGGUCUCCUAUUUAUACCAAACAGCUCAGAAUCCAUCAAAAUCUGUCAUCUGAUAGAAUCCUUGGAAGUCGUUGAGUUAUUGAAUACCGUCAGAGUUUGAAAGAGUUUUUAAAAUAGCAAUUGAAUACCAUAAGAUUUUAAAUGACUUUUUGAAAUCUUGAUUCAAUACUCAUAGACUUUUAAACUCCAAAACAAUCCAACAGACUCUUAAUUGAAUACACCACCCUAAGUAAUAUACAGACGCGUACGUUUUCGUGAAAUAUGAUACAGCUAGCAGUACUAGCUCUGUUUCGUCUGUUUUGAUUUAUUUGACCGGUGCCGGAAAGCGAGUUAUCAUGAUAUAUGAAGGCACUCAUUCAAGAAUCAAGUGUACUGUAAUUUCACAUAUACCUACCAGAAAAAAACGAAUCAAUAUUCAUCAUCAAUACUAGAACAAACAAAAAUAAAAACCGAUGACCGAUGGAAUAUUAAGCAUGCAGCUAGCUGAGGCUAGCUAGCAUUCCUACUCAGAAUUUAGAUUUUCCAUUUACAAACCCAGAACAAUUCAGCAGCUCAUUUUAUUUUCAAACAGAAACAAAACAACGGUCCGUCGUUUUCACCAACCAUGUCCCACACGUUUACAUAUAUGCAUGUGGGAAGCUCGAUCUUCUCUCUCUCUCUCUAAUCGUCUCCUCCAGAAAUCACAAGCUCGCUGGCUACUAUAUAAAGCAGACAAAUCUCAGACACUAACAGCAAAGCAGAACAGCAGAGCCAUUUAAACAGAUAGACCAAUAUCCUGAGACAAACAAAAACAGACCAAAACACCGAACUCGUAGAGAAUCAAAUCGAUGCCCCCUAUUAUGAAGAAGAAGAGCUCAACUCCUCUACCCCAUCUACUCAUUCUUUCAUUCCUAUUCAUAUCCACUUCUCUCUUCUCCCUCACCCACGCCGCCGGCGGCAAAUGGCAGCUGCUUCUCCCAAACGUCGGCAUUUCCGCCAUGCACAUGCAGCUCCUCAAAAACGACCGCGUCGUCAUGUUCGACCGCACCGACUUCGGAAAAUCCAACCUCUCCCUCCCCAACGGCGUCUGCCGCAACAACCCCAACGACACCGCCCUCAAAGUCGACUGCACGGCUCACUCCGCCGAGUACGACGUGGCGGGCAACAAAAUCCGUCCUCUCUUUGUGUACUCCGACGUGUGGUGCUCCUCCGGGUCGGUAAACCCCAGUGGAACUCUAGUCCAGACGGGUGGUUUCAACGACGGAGAGAAAAGGGUGAGGACUUAUGACCCGUGUGCUACCUGUGACUGGAAAGAGAUCGAAAACGCGCUGACCAACCGGAGAUGGUACGCCACCAAUCAUAUUCUCCCCGACGGACGGCAGAUAAUCAUCGGCGGACGGCGCCAGUUCAACUACGAGUUCUACCCCAAAAGUGAAGGAUCCAUGAACGCACAUAGUUUACCUUUUCUUGUUGAGACAAGUGACGGCACCGCCAUAGAGAACAAUCUCUACCCUUUUGUUUUUCUCAACGUUGAUGGCAAC